AACGUAGGUACCGAGCGUUAUCCGGAUUUACUGGGCGUAAAGCGCGUUCAGGCGGUUUGGCAAGUCGGGCAUGAAAUCUCUCGGCUCAACCGGGAGAGGUUGUCCGAUACUUCCAGACUUGAGGGCAGUAGAGGUGGGUGGAAUUCCGGGUGGAGUGGUGAAAUGCGUAGAGAUCCGGAGGAACACCAGAGGCGAAGGCGGCCCACUGGGCUGCACCUGACGCUGAACCGCGAAAGCCAGGGGAGCGAACGGG
RNAcentral lists this ribosomal RNA (253 nucleotides) under uncultured bacterium. Its description in RNAcentral is "partial 16S ribosomal RNA". It matches the Rfam family "Bacterial small subunit ribosomal RNA", at positions 524 to 776 of the family's 1533-position model. The record is from RNAcentral.